RNAcentral lists this small nuclear RNA (71 nucleotides) under Cervus elaphus hippelaphus. Lineage: Eukaryota; Metazoa; Chordata; Mammalia; Artiodactyla; Cervidae. The record is from RNAcentral.
AGCUUUGUGCAGUGGCCUGUAUUGUACCAAUGAGGUUUAUCUAGGGUGUGAUUAUUGCUAAUUAAAAAGUU